Molecule: ribosomal RNA, 458 nt
Filed under: uncultured bacterium
Lineage: Bacteria
Description: bacterial SSU rRNA
Rfam family: Bacterial small subunit ribosomal RNA
Source: RNAcentral
UACGGAAGGCAGCAGUGGGGAAUAUUGCACAAUGGGCGCAAGCCUGAUGCAGCCAUGCCGCGUGUAUGAAGAAGGCCUUCGGGUUGUAAAGUACUUUCAGCGGGGAGGAAGGCGAUGUGGUUAAUAACCGCGUCGAUUGACGUUACCCGCAGAAGAAGCACCGGCUAACUCCGUGCCAGCAGCCGCGGUAAUACGGAGGGUGCAAGCGUUAAUCGGAAUUACUGGGCGUAAAGCGCACGCAGGCGGUCUGUUAAGUCAGAUGUGAAAUCCCCGGGCUUAACCUGGGAACUGCAUUUUGAAACUGGCAGGCUUGAGUCUCGUAGAGGGGGUAGAAUUCCAGGUGUAGCGGUGAAAUGCGUAGAGAUCUGGAGGAAUACCGGUGGCGAAGGCGGCCCCUGGGACGAAGACUGACGCUCAGGGUGCGAAAGCGUGGGGAGCGAAACAGGGAUUAGGAUACC